This is a long non-coding RNA of Dreissena polymorpha, 302 nucleotides long. RefSeq lists it as uncharacterized. NCBI's taxonomy places the organism in Eukaryota, Metazoa, Mollusca, Bivalvia, Myida, Dreissenidae. The record is from RefSeq and is a predicted model, not a curated record. The transcript has 3 exons.
CUUUGGAGGCAGUCUACAGUUUUGUAGCCCUAUUUGCGCAUUGGCCCCGGUCAAUUUCCUGAACAUAAGGCGUAUGACCUAAACAAAAUUGUUUUUUGACUCCAGGAGCUUAAAUGUUGGGACUGAAGGCCUUGUUUUGAGGGUGUUUUGCAGACCAGUGGUUGUCGGCCUGGUGAUUUUCAAGAAAAACUUUAGACUGCCCCCUUAAGGUUGGGACUGAAGGCCUUGUUUUGAGGGUGUUUUGCAGACCAGUGGUUGUCGGCCUGGUGAUUUUCAAGAAAAACUGUAGACUGCCCCCUUUA